This 20-nucleotide unclassified non-coding RNA is filed under the name Dictyostelium discoideum. Lineage: Eukaryota; Evosea; Eumycetozoa; Dictyosteliales; Dictyosteliaceae. The record is from RNAcentral.
UCUUGAUUCCUUCCAUCUUG